UAUGCUCAUCCUGAAGACUAAGCCAUGCAUGUCUAUGAUUAGAUGCUAUUGAACAAUUCGAAUCUGCGAACGGCUCCACAUAUCAGUUGCGACAUAACGACCCGCUCCAUGCCCCGUAGGGACCAGCAAUGGCCCCGAAAGGGAACUACAUGGAUAACCCCGGUAAUUCUGAGGCUAAUACAUGAUACGAAAGCCGACCCAGCAAUGGGCCGUGCUCAAGAGCAAUAACGUCACGGCGGUUUUGCUAAUCAAUUCAUGAUGCGAAUACACCCUUGAGUCGACCGUCAUAAACAAGCGCCAUUGGGAUCGAGGCUUUCUCGCUGAAAGGUGGGGGGCUGAGUGAACGGUGGCGUGGCGGCCGGGUUGAGUGGCUCCUGACCUAUCAUACUAGAAGCUGGGGUAAUGCCCCAGCUUGGUCGCAACGGGUACAGAGGAUUAGGGUUCGAUCCUGGAGAGUGGGCCUGAGAAAUUGCUCAUACUUCUAAGGAAGGCAGCAGGCGCGCAACGUUCCCAAUGGGCAAUAGCCCGAGGGCGUGAAAGGAAAUACUAAUAUCGGCCUACUAAGGUUGGUAAUUAGAAUGAGGCUAAUUUAAAUCCAUUACUCGAGUAACAAUUAGAGGA
RNAcentral lists this ribosomal RNA (621 nucleotides) under uncultured eukaryote. RNAcentral describes it as "bacterial SSU rRNA". It matches the Rfam family "Eukaryotic small subunit ribosomal RNA", at positions 27 to 555 of the family's 1831-position model. The record is from RNAcentral.